GACGAACCACACAAACGUUAUUCGGAAUUACUGGGCUUAAAGGGUGCGUAGGCGGCGCGGAAAGUAGGGUGUGAAAUCCCUCGGCUCAACCGAGGAAUUGCGCCCUAAACUACCGUGCUCGAGGGAGAUAGAGGUGAGCGGAACUUAGGGUGGAGCGGUGAAAUGCGUUGAUAUCCUAAGGAACACCGGUGGCGAAAGCGGCUCACUGGAUCUCUUCUGACGCUGAGGCACGAAAGCUAGGGUAGCGAACGGGA
RNAcentral lists this ribosomal RNA (254 nucleotides) under uncultured bacterium. RNAcentral describes it as "partial 16S ribosomal RNA". It matches the Rfam family "Bacterial small subunit ribosomal RNA", at positions 524 to 777 of the family's 1533-position model. The record is from RNAcentral.